Molecule: non-coding RNA, 93 nt
Filed under: Candidatus Heritagella caecorum
Lineage: Bacteria; Bacillati; Bacillota; Clostridia
Description: NiCo riboswitch
Rfam family: NiCo (Nickel/Cobalt) riboswitch aptamer
Source: RNAcentral
ACAGUACAAACUGAGCAGGCGAUACCCGAAAGGGUAUGGGGCCGGGCCGCCCAGGCGGCAGCAGAUGGUAGGAAAAAGCAUCUGUGGGACAGU